GACGAACCGUGCGAACGUUGUUCGGAAUCACUGGGCUUAAAGGGCGCGUAGGCGGAUCGGCGAGUCUGUGGUGAAAUCCUUCAGCUUAACUGGAGAAGUGCCGUGGAUACUGUCUGUCUCGAGGAGGGUAGGGGCAUCUGGAACUGCCGGUGGAGCGGUGAAAUGCGUUGAUAUCGGCAGGAACUCCGGUGGCGAAGGCGAGAUGCUGGACCCGUUCUGACGCUGAGGCGCGAAAGCCAGGGGAGCAAACGGG
RNAcentral lists this ribosomal RNA (253 nucleotides) under uncultured bacterium. RNAcentral's name for it is "partial 16S ribosomal RNA". It matches the Rfam family "Bacterial small subunit ribosomal RNA", at positions 524 to 776 of the family's 1533-position model. The record is from RNAcentral.